Small nuclear RNA from Tupaia belangeri (northern tree shrew), 43 nucleotides. Its record names the gene U7. It matches the Rfam family "U7 small nuclear RNA". From Rfam's summary of the family: Animal histone pre-mRNAs are spliced by a different mechanism than nuclear pre-mRNAs and self-splicing introns. Lineage: Eukaryota; Metazoa; Chordata; Mammalia; Scandentia; Tupaiidae. The record is from Ensembl.
CAAUGUUACAGCUCUUUUAACAUUUGUCUAGCAGGGGGCCAGC